This 468-nucleotide ribosomal RNA is filed under the name uncultured bacterium. Its description in RNAcentral is "partial 16S ribosomal RNA". It matches the Rfam family "Bacterial small subunit ribosomal RNA", at positions 28 to 507 of the family's 1533-position model. The record is from RNAcentral.
GACGAACGCUGGCGUCGUGCUUAACACAUGCAAGUCGAACGGAAAGGCCCUGCUUUUGUGGGGUGCUCGAGUGGCGAACGGGUGAGUAACACGUGAGUAACCUGCCCUUGACUUUGUGAUAACUUCAGGAAACUGGGGCUAAUACCGGAUAGGAGCUCCUGCUGCAUGUUGGGGGUUGGAAAGUUUCGGCGGUUGGGGAUGGACUCGCGGCUUAUCAGCUUGUUGGUGGGGUAGUGGCUUACCAAGGCUUUGACGGGUAGCCGGCCUGAGAGGGUGACCGGCCACAUUGGGACUGAGAUACGGCACAGACUCCUACGGGAGGCAGCAGUGGGGAAUAUUGCACAAUGGGCGGAAGCCUGAUGCAGCAACGCCGCGUGCGGGAUGACGGCCUUCGGGUUGUAAACCGCUUUCGCCUGUGACGAAGCGUGAGUGACGGUAAUGGGUAAAGAAGCACCGGCUAACUACGUG